CAUUAAAGUGCAAAGCAAGGAUUCAAACCCAGGAGGAAGACUGGUCGUAGAGUGCCCUUGGAUUUGGACGGGAACUUUUGAGCUGCAGCCCCGGUUUUCCCUGAAAGCCUGCGUUGUUUGGCUCCAUCUCAUCCAGCUUUGACGGCCACAUGCGGCAGUUGCCUGUACACACGCGCCAAUGAAACACUGGCAAAGGCUGUACAUUGCAAAGAAACCCCACAUUAUAUAUCCACGUCACUGCUGGUAGUAUUCAUAUUUUUGCACCCGCUGUUUAUUGCUUAUAUGCAGAAGAAAUGAAACUAGUUUUCAGAGUUGUUAUUAAUAUGAAUAUAUAUCAUGUACUAAUGCCGAGACGGGAAAAAUACAUUUCCAGCAUUAGCAGUCCUUCAUUUCCUUUCUCCAGCAGAAAAUUCGCUCCUUCAGAGAGUAAUGUAAGUCUUGAUAAUAAAAUAAGAGUUUUGAUCAAGAGCAGCAUGCAGCUUCGAAGUGGAAUGUUAAAGGAUUAGUAAAAAUCCUAUCUCAUGUUAUUUUUCAGCCCUCACACCACAACUGAUGUCAGGCUGGGUUGUUGUUAUGGAAAACAGUUUGGGAGUUAAUGCAAAAACAUAAUACUCACUUUAUAUAUUACUGUCUUAGUAAAAGAAUUUAUUGAAGAUAAGAAUCUAAUCAUAUUUAUUUGACAUAUUAGAAGCUGUGGUUUCUAGGAAAAAAAGAAAGUAGGUACCUUGAAUAGCUUUUUUUCCAUGAUAGAAACAUAAAUUUAAUAGUAUCCCUAUAAUAAUUUAGUGUUGUACAUUUUCUCAGUCUUCAAAGUAUUGCAUUCUGUGGAUUUCAUGUCUUCAGUAUAUUGAGAUGUUUCUUUCAAAGAUGACCAACAAUAUCUUCAUUUUAAUUAAGUGCUACUGACAUAUUUAAGCAUAUGCUUAUAUGUAGUUAAGUGUGACAGAAUGAGAUAAUUUAUGUGAAACAGUAGAGUGCCUGGCACAAAGCAAGUACUUAAAUGUUCGUUAUAAUUAUUGUUGUAAAACUAAUAACUUCAAAAACCGAGCCCCAAUUUGGAGAGAUUUUGUGAUGCAAAAUAUCUAAGUUAGAAAUAGAAAUAAUUCAAGUGGAAUAAGCAUGUAUUGAGAGAUUUUAGAUGUACUGCGUACAGGUUGUAAUAAUGAGAGCAUUAAAUUAAGUAAAACUCA
This is a non-coding RNA of Miniopterus natalensis, 1190 nucleotides long. The record is from RefSeq and is a predicted model, not a curated record. Lineage: Eukaryota; Metazoa; Chordata; Mammalia; Chiroptera; Miniopteridae.